RNAcentral lists this ribosomal RNA (253 nucleotides) under uncultured bacterium. RNAcentral describes it as "partial 16S ribosomal RNA". It matches the Rfam family "Bacterial small subunit ribosomal RNA", at positions 524 to 776 of the family's 1533-position model. The record is from RNAcentral.
UACGGGGGGGGCAAGCGUUGUUCGGAAUUACUGGGCGUAAAGGGCGCGUAGGCGGUCUCUUAAGUUCCGUGUGAAAUCCCUCGGCUCAACUGGGGAACUGCACGGGAAACUGGAAGGCUUGAGUUCGGGAGAGGGAAGCGGAAUUCCGGGUGUAGCGGUGAAAUGCGUAGAUAUCCGGAGGAACACCGGUGGCGAAGGCGGCUUCCUGGACCGACACUGACGCUGAGGCGCGAAAGCUAGGGGAGCAAACGGG